This 492-nucleotide ribosomal RNA is filed under the name uncultured bacterium. RNAcentral describes it as "partial 16S ribosomal RNA". It matches the Rfam family "Bacterial small subunit ribosomal RNA", at positions 29 to 507 of the family's 1533-position model. The record is from RNAcentral.
AGUGGACGCUGGCGGUAGGCCUAACACAUGCAAGUCGAACGGCAGCACAGUAAGAGCUUGCUCUUACGGGUGGCGAGUGGCGGACGGGUGAGGAAUACAUCGGAAUCUACUUUUUCGUGGGGGAUAACGUAGGGAAACUUACGCUAAUACCGCAUACGACCUACGGGUGAAAGCAGGGGAUCUUCGGACCUUGCGCGAUUGAAUGAGCCGAUGUCGGAUUAGCUAGUUGGCGGGGUAAAGGCCCACCAAGGCGACGAUCCGUAGCUGGUCUGAGAGGAUGAUCAGCCACACUGGAACUGAGACACGGUCCAGACUCCUACGGGAGGCAGCAGUGGGGUAUAUUGGACAAUGGGCGCAAGCCUGAUCCAGCCAUACCGCGUGGGUGAAGAAGGCCUUCGGGUUGUAAAGCCCUUUUGUUGGGAAAGAAAAGCAGCAGGUUAAUACCCCGCUGUUCUGACGGUACCCAAAGAAUAAGCACCGGCUAACUUCGUG